UACAGAGGUCUCAAGCGUUGUUCGGAUUCAUUGGGCGUAAAGGGUGCGUAGGCGGGCAGGUAAGUCAGUGGUGAAAUCCCCGAGCUCAACUUGGGAAUUGCCGUUGAUACUAUCUGUCUUGAAUAUCGUGGAGGUGAGCGGAAUAUGUCAUGUAGCGGUGAAAUGCUUAGAUAUGACAUAGAACACCCAUUGCGAAGGCAGCUCACUACACGAUAAUUGACGCUGAGGCACGAAAGCGUGGGGAGCAAACAGG
RNAcentral lists this ribosomal RNA (253 nucleotides) under uncultured bacterium. RNAcentral's name for it is "partial 16S ribosomal RNA". It matches the Rfam family "Bacterial small subunit ribosomal RNA", at positions 524 to 776 of the family's 1533-position model. The record is from RNAcentral.